This 253-nucleotide ribosomal RNA is filed under the name uncultured bacterium. Its description in RNAcentral is "partial 16S ribosomal RNA". It matches the Rfam family "Bacterial small subunit ribosomal RNA", at positions 524 to 776 of the family's 1533-position model. The record is from RNAcentral.
UACAGAGGAUGCAAGCGUUAUCCGGAAUGAUUGGGCGUAAAGCGUCUGUAGGUGGCUUUUUAAGUCCGCCGUCAAAUCCCAGGGCUCAACUCUGGACAGGCGGUGGAAACUACCAAGCUGGAGUACGGUAGGGGCAGAGGGAAUUUACGGUGUAGCGGUGAAAUGCGUAGAUAUCGUAAGGAAGACCAGUGGCGAAGGCGGGUCUCUGGACAGUUCCUGACGCUGAGGCACGAAGGUCAGGGGAGCAAACGGG